UUGGACCUACGGGAGGCAGCAGUGAGGAAUGUUGGUCAAUGGUCGGGAGACUGAGCCAGCCAAGCCGCGUGAGGGAUGAAGGUACAGAGUAUCGUAAACCUCUUUUGUCAGGGAACAAAGGCGGGGACGUGUCCCCGGAUGAGUGUACCUGAAGAAAAAGCAUCGGCUAACUCCGUGCCAGCAGCCGCGGUAAUACGGAGGAUGCGAGCGUUAUCCGGAUUUAUUGGGUUUAAAGGGUGCGCAGGCGGUCUGUUAAGUCAGCGGUCAAAGCCCGGGGCUAAACCCCGGCCCGCCGUUGAAACCGG
This 305-nucleotide ribosomal RNA is filed under the name uncultured bacterium. Its description in RNAcentral is "bacterial SSU rRNA". It matches the Rfam family "Bacterial small subunit ribosomal RNA", at positions 331 to 636 of the family's 1533-position model. The record is from RNAcentral.